GACGAACCGUGCGAACGUUGUUCGGAAUCACUGGGCUUAAAGGGCGCGUAGGCGGCCAGCACAAGUCAGUUGUGAAAUCUCCGAGCUUAACUCGGAACGGUCAACUGAUACUGUGCGGCUAGAGUGCGGAAGGGGCAACUGGAAUUCUUGGUGUAGCGGUGAAAUGCGUAGAUAUCAAGAGGAACACCUGCGGCGAAGGCGGGUUGCUGGGCCGACACUGACGCUGAGACGCGAAAGCGUGGGGAGCGAACAGG
Molecule: ribosomal RNA, 254 nt
Filed under: uncultured bacterium
Lineage: Bacteria
Description: partial 16S ribosomal RNA
Rfam family: Bacterial small subunit ribosomal RNA
Source: RNAcentral